AACGAACGCUGGCGGCAGGCCUAACACAUGCAAGUCGAACGCCGUAGCAAUACGGAGUGGCAGACGGGUGAGUAACGCGUGGGAACGUGCCCUUCAGUUCGGGAUAACCCAGGGAAACUUGGACUAAUACCGGAUACGUGCGAGAGCAGAAAGAUUUAUUCGCUGAAGGAUCGGCCCGCCGUCCGAUUAGCUAGUUGGUUAGGGUAAGUGGCCUACCAAGGCGACGAUCGGUAGCUGGUCUGAGAGGAC
RNAcentral lists this ribosomal RNA (249 nucleotides) under uncultured bacterium. RNAcentral's name for it is "partial 16S ribosomal RNA". It matches the Rfam family "Bacterial small subunit ribosomal RNA", at positions 29 to 301 of the family's 1533-position model. The record is from RNAcentral.